UGCAGUCGAGCGGAUGAGAGAGCUUGCUCUCUGAUUCAGCGGCGGACGGGUGAGUAAUGCCUAGGAAUCUGCCUGGUAGUGGGGGACAACGUUUCGAAAGGAACGCUAAUACCGCAUACGUCCUACGGGAGAAAGCAGGGGACCUUCGGGCCUUGCGCUAUCAGAUGAGCCUAGGUCGGAUUAGCUAGUUGGUGAGGUAAUGGCUCACCAAGGCGACGAUCCGUAACUGGUCUGAGAGGAUGAUCAGUCACACUGGAACUGAGACACGGUCCAGACUCCUACGGGAGGCAGCAGUGGGGAAUAUUGGACAAUGGGCGAAAGCCUGAUCCAGCCAUGCCGCGUGUGUGAAGAAGGUCUUCGGAUUGUAAAGCACUUUAAGUUGGGAGGAAGGGUUGUAGAUUAAUACUCUGCAAUUUUGACGUUACCGACAGAAUAAGCACCGGCUAACUCUGUGCCAGCAGCCGCGGUAAUACAGAGGGUGCAAGCGUUAAUCGGAAUUACUGGGCGUAAAGCGCGCGUAGGUGGUUCGUUAAGUUGGAUGUGAAAGCCCCGGGCUCAACCUGGGAACUGCAUUCAAAACUGACGAGCUAGAGUAUGGUAGAGGGUGGUGGAAUUUCCUGUGUAGCGGUGAAAUGCGUAGAUAUAAG
RNAcentral lists this ribosomal RNA (647 nucleotides) under Pseudomonas sp. RNAcentral's name for it is "bacterial SSU rRNA". It matches the Rfam family "Bacterial small subunit ribosomal RNA", at positions 56 to 700 of the family's 1533-position model. The record is from RNAcentral. Lineage: Bacteria; Pseudomonadati; Pseudomonadota; Gammaproteobacteria; Pseudomonadales; Pseudomonadaceae.